GACAGAGGCCCCGAGCGUUAGGCGGAAUCACUGGGCUUAAAGCGUGUGUAGGCGGGCCCGUAAGUGUCUUGUGAAAUCCCACGGCUCAACCGUGGAACUGCUGGGCAUACUGCGGGUCUUGGGCCAACUAGGGGCAGCCGGAACAAGCGGUGGAGCGGUGAAAUGCGUAGAUAUCGCUUGGAACGCCGAAGGUGAAAACAGGCUGCUGGGGUUGCGCCGACGCUGAGGCGCGAAAGCCAGGGGAGCGAACGGG
This 253-nucleotide ribosomal RNA is filed under the name uncultured bacterium. RNAcentral describes it as "partial 16S ribosomal RNA". It matches the Rfam family "Bacterial small subunit ribosomal RNA", at positions 524 to 776 of the family's 1533-position model. The record is from RNAcentral.